This is a non-coding RNA of Myodes glareolus (Bank vole), 708 nucleotides long. The record is from RefSeq and is a predicted model, not a curated record. Lineage: Eukaryota; Metazoa; Chordata; Mammalia; Rodentia; Cricetidae.
UUUAUCGGAAUACAGAGCUGGCAGUGGGGGGAUGGGCCCCUGACAUAUUUUCAGGAUGAGGUUUUUCCAACUAUUUGCCUGAAACUGAAAAGUGAAAGCGACACUUUAAAAAAUCAGGCACCUGCUGUUGGGUCCCUUCCUUCCACGGAUGCCCUUAAGGGCAGUUCACAGCCUCAUGUGCUUUGGAGGAAGGUGGACAUGAACAUAACCCCCUCCACAUGGAGACCGGUAUCUGUCAGUGCUGGCAUGGCACGCGUAAACUCAGGAUGGCUUCAGAGCAACAGUGGUUCCCAACUUGGGACGCACUUCAGAAUUGCCUGGUUUAAAAACGCAAAUUCGACACCUCUUUGGAGAUUCUGAUUCAGCAGGACAUGACAAAUGGCCCUGUGGUUUGGCAUCAUACUUACUGGAUGCUUCAGAGCGCAGAGUUCGUACAGAAUGCAUCCCAAGGACCAGAUGUCACUAGAAGCAUAAAGAGACAGCAUUGUAACAACUAUGUUAUGCAUGAUCAUGAUGGAUGCAGAGACUCUUCAAAGCAUAAACAACAAGUCUGGAACCAGGCACAUAACCCAGACCACCCUUACAACCGCUGAACCUUCUUUUGUCAACUAGGCCCUCACAGCUGUGAUGACGAUGUUGGAAAACCAGGACUUUCCUCUGGAUUCCUGAGAAUACAGAUUCCAUGUAACUUUAAGAUCUAUUUUUUAU